AUGCACUUUGCCAACGAUAAGCGUCCCCGCCG
This 32-nucleotide non-coding RNA is filed under the name Geobacter sulfurreducens KN400. The record is from RNAcentral. Lineage: Bacteria; Pseudomonadati; Thermodesulfobacteriota; Desulfuromonadia; Geobacterales; Geobacteraceae.